AGGAUGAACGCUGGCGGCGUGCUUAAGACAUGCAAGUCGAACGCAGAGUGAUCGUAAGGUUGCUCUGAGUGGCGAAUGGGUGCGUAACACGUAGGUGAUCUGCCCAGAAGUGUGGAAUAACAGUCCGAAAGGACUGCUAAUACCGCAUGUGGCGCGGCGGGGUUAGACGGCCCGCACGCGAAAGGCGAGCAAUCGUCGCUUCGUGGAGGAGCCUGGCCGGCCCAGUCAGGUAGGUUGGGUAGGGUAAUGGACCUACCAAGCCUACGGACGGGUAGGGGACCUCGAGGAGGGUCCGGCCCCCCACACCGUGGACACUGACACACCGGGCCAGACUCCGUAACGGG
RNAcentral lists this ribosomal RNA (344 nucleotides) under uncultured soil bacterium. Its description in RNAcentral is "bacterial SSU rRNA". It matches the Rfam family "Bacterial small subunit ribosomal RNA", at positions 26 to 345 of the family's 1533-position model. The record is from RNAcentral.